This is an RNA transcript of Helianthus annuus (common sunflower), 3400 nucleotides long. RefSeq lists it as uncharacterized. The record is from RefSeq and is a predicted model, not a curated record. Lineage: Eukaryota; Viridiplantae; Streptophyta; Magnoliopsida; Asterales; Asteraceae. The transcript is spliced from 4 exons.
ACGGGUAAAAUACCGUUAGGGGUAAAAGUGAACCCGUAAAUGAAUAUUAACUAGGAAUAAUUAACCUAGUUGAAUAUUAGUAUCGUUGGUAUUAAACGAGUGGUUGUAGCCUUAUUUAAUUAAAACGAAACAUGGGGACCAAAGUGAACAACUUGAAAGUUGUUUUCUUAAAAUGUCUAAGUGUUUUAUAUAAUUAGAUAAGUUUAAAAGUAUCAAGAAAGUUUAUAAAACUUGGAAAAGGGUUAUUAGGUGACAACAAUAGAUAGCAUGGGGGUUGAAUGUGUAAGAUUGAUAAAUAACGUAAUAAAAUUAAAAACCCAGUAGUUGGGUGCGUGGUGGGUAUCGCGACCAGGAGGGGGAAAGAAAGGGUGAAACCCUACUUGUUCAAUCAAGGUCAAAAUUCAGCAAAUUAAUGGUGGUUCUUGACACAAAUCGAAUGCAUGAGACUGGAUACAACUUAAUCUAAGUAUAUUGAUCAUAAGGAAUCACAUUAGCAAGGACUCGAAAACGGAAGGUUAACGGGUCAAGCAGAGGCGAGGAAACAAGCGUGAACACUAACGCUCGAGGUAAGUGACUUUCGAUUCACUUCUUAGUAUACAUAUAGAGUUUUCUUGUUAUGGUUGAAUGGGAUGAUUGAUGUAUAUAAAAUGGCCGACAAGUAGGUAUGUAUGAAUGCAUUUAGGAAAAUUACGUAAGUACAUGCACGUGUGAGCUAAGGUAUGCACGGGUGUAGUUAUGAUUCAUUUUAUGAAUGUAUGUAAGUAUGGAGUUAUGUAUGCAUGUAUGUAUAUAUGUAGGUAUUGGUGUAUGUAUGUACGUAAGUAGUUAUGUAUGAGCAUGAGCAUUAUGUAUUUGAAUAUGAAAGUACAUACGUGUGUAGGUACGAAUGUAUAUAUAUAUGUGGAUGCAAGUAAGUAUGUAUGUAUGUAUGUAUGUGAGUAGGUAUGUGUGUAUGUAGUUAUGUAUGUAUGUAUGUAAAUACAUAUGCGAAGAUGUAAUCAUGUAUGUAUGUAAUUCGAUGCGUGGGUAUGCAAGUAAAGGUAUGUAUGUAUGUAGAUGUGUAUUAUGCGUAUGCGAAGAUACGUAGGUAUAUAUGAAUGUAUGUAGAGAAGUAGUAAUGCAUGCGCGAAUGUAGAUAUGGGGUUGGUAUAUAAGAAGGUACGUAUGAGUAUAUGCAGGUAUGUAGAAAUAUAGGAGGACAUGUACGUAUGUAGACGCAUAUGUAUACAUGUAAACAUGUACAUGUGCAUGAUUUAGAUACGUAGAAUUUUAACGUUACUAAUUAUGCGUUUGAGGUUGGUAUGUGAUGCAGGAACAAGUACACCGGAUUCUUACGAAACUUAAACCGAACCCGGAAUAAGAGGAUGAGAAAGAAUAAUUGGAUGAAUUAAUGUUAAAUUGACGAACAUUAUUCAAUCUUUAAUUACAUGAGAUUAAUGUUAUAUGAUGUUGCCUUUGACUAAUGGUUAAGUUGUAUGUGAUGCCCACAGGUGUUACACGGACUUCUUCUGCUGCUAUGGAAGUGAAGCGGACGUAGAUCGAGUCAAGAGCAAGGAUUGUACGGAUAGAUUGGUCACAUAGUUGAAGUAUAUAACGUUUGGAAAUCUAAAUUUUAGUAUGAAUGUUGUAAAAUUCUUUUAUAGUACGUUUAACAUUUUUAGGAUUUGGAUCCUUCGUGAAAGAAAUGUUGUUAAUACGGAAGAAAAUUUUAAAGCUCUUUUUUCCGCUGCGUUAUUUUUAAGGUUAAACGUGUUAGGGUGUAACAAGUUGGUAUCAGAGCCCUGGUUUGAGAGAAUCAAGUACAAGAGGAUAGGUACUUGAACUCGAACCUGUGUGCUCUUAUGACAAGAAACCCAUACAAUCCGAGACUCGACCAAGAUCUAAAGGUAGAAGCAAAGGUAAGUAUGUGCUUAAGUAUGUAUUGGAAGAUAACUAACUAUAUGUUAUGUGUAAGGUAAGCAUGGUUGCUUGGAAAGAAUGAUUUGUGGAUGCGGUCUAGCACCGACGCCAAGGCCAUGUUCAUUUGAACAAGGCAUUAUUGAAAGGAUGCGCAUAGGCGGGUGCUCAACAAAUCAAUGGAAGCAAUCAAUGAAAGCAUUACAUGAACCCAUGAAGAAACGGGCCGACUCGGGCCACAAACCGCUGGCAUACACGACGAAGUCAAGGAAUCACAUUAGCAAGGACUCGAAAACGGAAGGUUAACGGGUCAAGCAGAGGCGAGGAAACAAGCGUGAACACUAACGCUCGAGGUAAGUGACUUUCGAUUCACUUCUUAGUAUACAUAUAGAGUUUUCUUGUUAUGGUUGAAUGGGAUGAUUGAUGUAUAUAAAAUGGCCGACAAGUAGGUAUGUAUGAAUGCAUUUAGGAAAAUUACGUAAGUACAUGCACGUGUGAGCUAAGGUAUGCACGGGUGUAGUUAUGAUUCAUUUUAUGAAUGUAUGUAAGUAUGGAGUUAUGUAUGCAUGUAUGUAUAUAUGUAGGUAUUGGUGUAUGUAUGUACGUAAGUAGUUAUGUAUGAGCAUGAGCAUUAUGUAUUUGAAUAUGAAAGUACAUACGUGUGUAGGUACGAAUGUAUAUAUAUAUGUGGAUGCAAGUAAGUAUGUAUGUAUGUAUGUAUGUGAGUAGGUAUGUGUGUAUGUAGUUAUGUAUGUAUGUAUGUAAAUACAUAUGCGAAGAUGUAAUCAUGUAUGUAUGUAAUUCGAUGCGUGGGUAUGCAAGUAAAGGUAUGUAUGUAUGUAGAUGUGUAUUAUGCGUAUGCGAAGAUACGUAGGUAUAUAUGAAUGUAUGUAGAGAAGUAGUAAUGCAUGCGCGAAUGUAGAUAUGGGGUUGGUAUAUAAGAAGGUACGUAUGAGUAUAUGCAGGUAUGUAGAAAUAUAGGAGGACAUGUACGUAUGUAGACGCAUAUGUAUACAUGUAAACAUGUACAUGUGCAUGAUUUAGAUACGUAGAAUUUUAACGUUACUAAUUAUGCGUUUGAGGUUGGUAUGUGAUGCAGGAACAAGUACACCGGAUUCUUACGAAACUUAAACCGAACCCGGAAUAAGAGGAUGAGAAAGAAUAAUUGGAUGAAUUAAUGUUAAAUUGAUGAACGUUAUUCAAUCUUUAAUUACAUGAGAUUAAUGUUAUAUGAUGCUGCCUUUGACUAAUGGUUAAGUUGUAUGUGAUGCCCACAGGUGUUACACGGACUUCUUCUGCUGCUAUGGAAGUGAAGCGGACGUAGAUCGAGUCAAGAGCAAGGAUUGUACGGAUAGAUUGGUCACAUAGUUGAAGUAUAUAACGUUUGGAAAUCUAAAUUUUAGUAUGAAUGUUGUAAAAUUCUUUUAUAGUACGUUUAACAUUUUUAGGAUUUGGAUCCUUCGUGAAAGAAAUGUUGUUAAUACGGAAGAAAAUUUUAAAGCUC